Molecule: long non-coding RNA, 447 nt
Filed under: Brassica napus (rape)
Lineage: Eukaryota; Viridiplantae; Streptophyta; Magnoliopsida; Brassicales; Brassicaceae
Description: long non-coding RNA (BNAP_LNC014825)
Source: RNAcentral
ACACCCAUCUAGGCCUUCACGCCCUUCCACGCCUUCAAAUCCUCCUUCUGGUGGAUAUUACUCAUCUCCUCCACCAAGUACUCCUGUCGUUGUGACUCCACCAACACCCAUUGUUGACCCAGGCACACCCAGUACUGGAGGAACCCCUCCUUCUUCUGGUGGAUAUUACUCAUCUCCUCCACCAAGUACUCCAGUCGUUGAGACUCCACCAACACCUAUUGUUGACCCAGGCACACCCAUCAUUGGAGAAACCCCACCAACUCCUUCCGGUGGAUAUUACUCAUCUCCUCCACCAAGUACUCCCAUUGUUGUAACUCCACCAACACCCAUUGUUGACCCAGGCACACCCAUCAUUGGAGGAACCCCACCAACUCCUUUUAUUGACCCUGGCACUCCUGGAACCCCCUUCCUUCCUGCUCCUUUUCCACCAAUCACUGGAACAUGCGA